UACGUAGGGUGCGAGCGUUGUCCGGAAUUAUUGGGCGUAAAGGGCUCGUAGGCGGUUUGUCGCGUCGGGAGUGAAAACCAGGUGCUUAACACCUGGCUUGCUUUCGAUACGGGCAGACUAGAGGUAUGCAGGGGAGAACGGAAUUCCUGGUGUAGCGGUGAAAUGCGCAGAUAUCAGGAGGAACACCGGUGGCGAAGGCGGUUCUCUGGGCAUGACCUGACGCUGAGGAGCGAAAGUGUGGGGAGCGAACAGGAUUAGAAACCCGGUAGUCC
Molecule: ribosomal RNA, 272 nt
Filed under: uncultured prokaryote
Description: partial 16S ribosomal RNA
Rfam family: Bacterial small subunit ribosomal RNA
Source: RNAcentral